CUCAUCAAGGGGGAGAUUGAGGACCAAUGGUGGUCACCCUUGGAUGAUGAGUGAUUGACAACGUGUGUGUUGGAAUGAUGUUGCUCUUAGCUUGUGAUGUGCAGGUGUAGGAUGCGGUGUCACAGCCAACGGCGUGCGGUGCAGGUCAAGGGAAAGGUUCAUGCCCAUGGAUCAAUGGUGGUGAAGGAUGACCGUGAGU
RNAcentral lists this long non-coding RNA (199 nucleotides) under Setaria viridis. Its description in RNAcentral is "long non-coding RNA (SVIR_LNC004763)". The record is from RNAcentral. Lineage: Eukaryota; Viridiplantae; Streptophyta; Magnoliopsida; Poales; Poaceae.